RNAcentral lists this ribosomal RNA (153 nucleotides) under uncultured fungus. Its description in RNAcentral is "5.8S ribosomal RNA". It matches the Rfam family "5.8S ribosomal RNA". From Rfam's summary of the family: 5.8S ribosomal RNA (5.8S rRNA) is a component of the large subunit of the eukaryotic ribosome. It is transcribed by RNA polymerase I as part of the 45S precursor that also contains 18S and 28S rRNA. The record is from RNAcentral. Lineage: Eukaryota; Fungi.
CAACUUUCAACAACGGAUCUCUUGGCUCUCGCAUCGAUGAAGAACGCAGCGAAAUGCGAUACGUAAUGUGAAUUGCAGAAUUCAGUGAAUCAUCGAAUCUUUGAACGGACCUUGCGGCCCCUUGGCAUUCCGAGGGGGACACCCGUUUUGAGU